GGGGGUAUAGCUCAGUUGGGAGAGCGUUGCACUGGCAGUGCAAAGGUCGUCGGUUCAAGUCCGUCUACCUCCA
This 73-nucleotide transfer RNA is filed under the name Roseiconus nitratireducens. It matches the Rfam family "tRNA". From Rfam's summary of the family: Transfer RNA (tRNA) molecules are approximately 80 nucleotides in length. The record is from Rfam by way of RNAcentral. Lineage: Bacteria; Pseudomonadati; Planctomycetota; Planctomycetia; Pirellulales; Pirellulaceae.